This is a non-coding RNA of Schistosoma rodhaini, 45 nucleotides long. Lineage: Eukaryota; Metazoa; Platyhelminthes; Trematoda; Strigeidida; Schistosomatidae. The record is from Rfam.
AUCCAGCUGACGAGUCCCAAAUAGGACGAAAUGCGCGUCCUGAAU